This is a long non-coding RNA of Mauremys mutica (yellowpond turtle), 2958 nucleotides long. RefSeq lists it as uncharacterized. The record is from RefSeq and is a predicted model, not a curated record. NCBI's taxonomy places the organism in Eukaryota, Metazoa, Chordata, Testudines, Geoemydidae. The transcript has 3 exons.
CGGUGGCACAACAAAUGCCAGCAGCAGAGCGAACAAUGGUGCAGCAGUGACACACCGUGAACUGUGAGCCAGUUGUGGGGGCAGCUGGGAAGGCAUUGCUCGACAUUCCUUCCCCCUCCGGAUGGGAGGUGAACUCACCCGAAUGCAUCUCUGAAUGCUGGGUCUCCGCUCCCCAAGGACAGCAGCUGGGAGUGGGAGGCACUGGAGGGAGAGGGGAGUGGCGUGUUAAAGCGGUAGCGAGGAAUGAGGCUGACAACGUUACAGACCAAACCAGCAUGCAAAGAGUCUCUUCAGCACCUGGGAACCAACACAUUUAAAUGAGAUGAAUAAAACCAGCAGACGGUCAGUUCAGUGCAGCUAGAAUUCACCUCUGGACUGCCACCUCCAUAACAGACUCUUCACUGGAUUGUGCCUGCUCUAGGUGAAUGACUCCGCAGUCCACAAAGUUCUGUGCCGUCAAACAUGCGCACGGGUCACUGAAAGUCUGCCAAAGCCUGGAAUUCCUCCUCUUCGCCACAGAGCUGACAGGGAGCCCAAACUGGGUCCCAAAAUGGGGAAAGAGGUUCCUUUCUCCCCUGAAGUCUCAGCCGUGUUGAUCACUCAUCAAGCAGGGGAGAGCAGAAAAUCUUGCUUGCCUCCAUGCACUGACCACAUCUUGCGUCAGUCAGCAGCAGCAGCGUCACCAGUCUGCCUCUGCUCACAAGAAGUCAGAGUCAUGGCUUGGCAAUACUACUUAUUUCAUUGUAAUGAACUAAACCAUAACUCGUGUCAUGGCCCUGCACUCAGCUGUAGACACUGUGGCAUUGCUGUGCUGAGAGAGACUGGGGGCUGCUUGAAUCACAAACUGCUUUGAGAUUGGGUGUGAAUGCACCCUUCAAUUAGCAUAACUGUCAGGAUGAGUUAUGGGGAAGCCCCUCCCACCCCCAAGAUAAAAGAGGAUUGUGAACCCACCCAGGAGUUCUGGACUGAGGGUAUGUGUGCACUGCAAUUAGACACCUGCUGCUGCUGGCCCCUGCCAGCUGACUUGGGCUAAGGGGCUGUUUAAUUGUGAUGUAGAUGUUUUGGCUCAGGCUGCAGCAUGAGCGCCGGGACCCUCCCACCUCACAGGGUCCUAGAGCCGAGGCUCCAAUCCAAGCCUAAACGUCUACACCUCAGUUAAACAGCCCCUUACCAGAGCCCCACGAGCCCAAGUCAGCUGGCACUGGCCAGUCACAGGGUCUGUCUACACUGCAAUCAGACACCUGAAAAGACAGGGGGCUUUGGGAGAGGGGGCCAUGUGCAUGUGGUGUGUAAAAAAAAGACAAGCCAGAGACAGAGAGGCUCAGAGGAGGAAGAAAGCCAAACAGGAGCCCAUGAGCACAGCGCGACUCAGGCAAAAGUGAGAGAGAGCUUUUGGGUCAGGUCCUGGCUAAAGCGGCUUGGGACUGUAAGCUAGGAAACUGCUCCUUUUGUUCCUAGUUCCUCCUGCGUUCGGAGAAGUGGGCUUUGUACAUUCCUUGCAAAUGAACAAAACUGCACCAAAAAAAUCCCAGACUCCAUCAAUUUCUACUUCCAAACGGAAUGUCCCCACUGGGCCCUGAACUUAGACUAGCCGCUUGAGUCGAAAAGGGGCAACAGUAUUAAUGGAGUUCAGCAGGCUGCCUUGUUCCUCCAGUCCAUCAGUAUUUCUCCCCUACGUGCUCUCCGGGGCUCUGCAAUUCCCACACUGAAUGUAUUUUGCGUCAGUGUUUCCUGGGAGGAGCAGAGUGUGAUGAUGCCUCUUCUGACCUGACCCUGCUUUUCCUAUGCACAUCGCUCUGUCUGGGGCUGGACAAACACAAAGACAGAGCUGGGGAGACAUGGCAGAGAUGUCCCUCUUGUCUGGUUUCCAAGUGGCACACAGUAUUGGUCCAAGUGCAGGCCUCUGCCAGGCAAAGGCCUGAGUUUGAGAUCUCUAGGCCAGCCUGAAGUAUGAGUCCUGGGAACCUCGCAGGGUCUGUACAUCCCAGAGGAGAGCGCAGAGGAAUCCCUGUCAGGUGGAAAGGAGCAGACCUGGGGUGGCUGUCUUUGCUGGUCAGCAAGCCCUAAACACUCACCCAUUUAUUCCUACAGUUAAACGUCACAGGUGGAAGCACUAGGGAGGCCAGCCCAUGGCAUGUGCCAACUGCACAGAGCUGUGUAUUUCUCAGGGCCCCAGCCCAGCAUGCCACCUCCUCCACCCCAUCACAGCAAGAUGAACCUGUGGGCUCAACCCUUGCCAGCUAGCACCAAAUCCAACCCAUUCCUCCAGCCCCAGAAACACAUACGGGUAUCCAGCACUCACUCAGUCUCCCUUCCAGCUGCCAAAGCCUCCCUCGCCCCCGAAUAAUGAGAGUACCGAUAAUCCGUGUGCCAAACUCUCCCCACUUGAAGGGGCAACAAACACUGCUGAGCCCCACACAUCUGACUCCACCAGGGUCCUGAUACAUCCAAGGAUAUUUCUUCCACCAGAAAUGCUUGAGAACCAGCCUUUAACAGACGCAAAGCACAGGUAACCUAGAUCUCCCUUUCUGGCACCAAUACCUGCAGGGGUACAGGCAAACGUCACUGUUUAAACCCACAGCCAACCGAAAAAGAGACACACCCCACAAGUGACAGACAGCUCGCACCAUCACAUAUAAUGGCACAUGGAAAAAAUUGUUUCAUGCUAGUGCGCCGCCUUCCAUGCCCAAAUCGUUAUAAACAAUGCCAUGCUGACAACCACGCAUGCACUCUUUGAGUGCCACACUGCCUACAUCAGGAAACUUUUAGUGUCAUACACCUGCCUACAUCACAACAUACACAUCUAUUACAACGGGUUUUGCUGAGCAGUUUGAAAAACCAACCUCUGAUCUUCUGUAACUAAAUGAGAUUUCAUAUUCAGCUAAUCUGAUUUAAAUAGUUCAGUUGUAAACAAAAUUGUAUUAAUUGCGCUGACAUGGCUGGUUCGUGAAUGCAGGA